This is a non-coding RNA of Schistosoma margrebowiei, 46 nucleotides long. NCBI's taxonomy places the organism in Eukaryota, Metazoa, Platyhelminthes, Trematoda, Strigeidida, Schistosomatidae. The record is from Rfam.
GCACUGCUGAGGAGUCCCACGACAGGACAAAAUGGCCAUCCAGUGC